GACGAACGCUGGCGGCGUGCCUAACACAUGCAAGUCGAGCGAGUGAAUCUCCUUCGGGAGUGAAGCUAGCGGCGGACGGGUGAGUAACACGUGGGCAACCUGCCUCAUAGAGGGGAAUAGCCUUCCGAAAGGAAGAUUAAUACCGCAUAAGAUUGUAGCUUCGCAUGAAGUAGCAAUUAAAGGAGCAAUCCGCUAUGAGAUGGGCCCGCGGCGCAUUAGCUAGUUGGUGAGGUAACGGCUCACCAAGGCGACGAUGCGUAGCCGACCUGAGAGGGUGAUCGGCCACAUUGGGACUGAGACACGGCCCAGACUCCUACGGGAGGCAGCAGUGGGGAAUAUUGCACAAUGGGGGAAACCCUGAUGCAGCAACGCCGCGUGAGUGAUGACGGCCUUCGGGUUGUAAACUGCUUUUGCAGGGGAGAAAUAACCGAAUGGGAUGAUAGUACUCUGCGAAUAAGUCCCGGCUAACUACGUG
RNAcentral lists this ribosomal RNA (475 nucleotides) under uncultured bacterium. RNAcentral's name for it is "bacterial SSU rRNA". It matches the Rfam family "Bacterial small subunit ribosomal RNA", at positions 28 to 507 of the family's 1533-position model. The record is from RNAcentral.